GAUGAACGCUAGCGGCAGGCCUAAUACAUGCAAGUCGAACGCUCAGUAGCAAUACUGGGAGUGGCGCACGGGUGCGUAACGCGUACACAAUCUACCUCUAAGCGGGGGACACCUCCUGGAAACGGGGAUUAAUACCGCAUAAUAUGCCGAAGUCGCAUGACUUUGGUAUUAAAGCAGCAAUGCACUUAGAGAUGAGUGUGCGUCCCAUUAGGUAGUUGGUGAGGUAACGGCUCACCAAGCCUAUGAUGGGUAGCCGGUCUGAGAGGAUGGUCGGCCACACGGGCACUGAGACACGGGCCCGACUCCUACGGGAGGCAGCAGUAAGGAAUAUUGGUCAAUGGUGGAAACACUGAACCAGCCAUGCCGCGUGGAGGAAUAAGGUCCUACGGAUUGUAAACUCCUUUUGACGAGGAAGAAAAUGUUAGAUUUAUCUAAUUUUGACGGUACCAUAGGAAUAAGCACCGGCUAACUCCGUGCCAGCAGCCGCGGUAAU
Molecule: ribosomal RNA, 493 nt
Filed under: uncultured bacterium
Lineage: Bacteria
Description: bacterial SSU rRNA
Rfam family: Bacterial small subunit ribosomal RNA
Source: RNAcentral